CCACGACCCCACGGGAGCCCAUGGCACGGGCUGAGAGGGAGCUGACGCCGCUCCGACCGUCCGAACCUGUCCGGAUCAUGCCGGCGAAGGAAGAGAGGACCUUAGGCAU
Regulatory RNA element from Corynebacterium kroppenstedtii DSM 44385, 109 nucleotides. It matches the Rfam family "TPP riboswitch aptamer (THI element)". Rfam says of the family: Vitamin B(1) in its active form thiamin pyrophosphate (TPP) is an essential coenzyme that is synthesised by coupling of pyrimidine and thiazole moieties in bacteria. The previously detected thiamin-regulatory element, thi box was extended, resulting in a new, highly conserved RNA secondary structure, the THI element, which is widely distributed in eubacteria and also occurs in some archaea. The record is from Rfam. Lineage: Bacteria; Bacillati; Actinomycetota; Actinomycetes; Mycobacteriales; Corynebacteriaceae.